AACGAACGCUGGCGGCAUGCCUAACACAUGCAAGUCGAACGAGACCUUCGGGUCUAGUGGCGCACGGGUGCGUAACGCGUGGGAAUCUACCCUUGGGUUCGGAAUAACAGUUAGAAAUGACUGCUAAUACCGGAUGAUGACGUAAGUCCAAAGAUUUAUCGCCCAAGGAUGAGCCCGCGUAAGAUUAGCUUGUUGGGGGGUAAUGGCCUACCAAGGCGACGAUCUUUAGCUGGUCUGAGAGGAUGAUCAGCCACACUGGGACUGAGACACGGCCCAGACUCCUACGGGAGGCAGCAGUGGGGAAUAUUGGGCAAUGGGCGAAAGCCUGAUCCAGCAAUGCCGCGUGAGUGAUGAAGGCCUUUGGGUUGUAAAGCUCUUUUACCAGGGAUGAUAAUGACAGUACCUGGAGAAUAAGCUCCGGCUAACUCCGUGCCAGCCGCCGCAGUAA
This 448-nucleotide ribosomal RNA is filed under the name uncultured bacterium. Its description in RNAcentral is "partial 16S ribosomal RNA". It matches the Rfam family "Bacterial small subunit ribosomal RNA", at positions 29 to 523 of the family's 1533-position model. The record is from RNAcentral.